CCUAACACAUGCAAGUCGAGCGGUAGAGAGAAGCUUGCUUCUCUUGAGAGCGGCGGACGGGUGAGUAAUGCCUAGGAAUCUGCCUGGUAGUGGGGGAUAACGUUCGGAAACGGACGCUAAUACCGCAUACGUCCUACGGGAGAAAGCAGGGGACCUUCGGGCCUUGCGCUAUCAGAUGAGCCUAGGUCGGAUUAGCUAGUUGGUGAGGUAAUGGCUCACCAAGGCGACGAUCCGUAACUGGUCUGAGAGGAUGAUCAGUCACACUGGAACUGAGACACGGUCCAGACUCCUACGGGAGGCAGCAGUGGGGAAUAUUGGACAAUGGGCGAAAGCCUGAUCCAGCCAUGCCGCGUGUGUGAAGAAGGUCUUCGGAUUGUAAAGCACUUUAAGUUGGGAGGAAGGGUUGUAGAUUAAUACUCUGCAAUUUUGACGUUACCGACAGAAUAAGCACCG
RNAcentral lists this ribosomal RNA (453 nucleotides) under gamma proteobacterium BAL79. RNAcentral's name for it is "bacterial SSU rRNA". It matches the Rfam family "Bacterial small subunit ribosomal RNA", at positions 47 to 495 of the family's 1533-position model. Lineage: Bacteria; Pseudomonadati; Pseudomonadota; Gammaproteobacteria. The record is from RNAcentral.